Molecule: ribosomal RNA, 467 nt
Filed under: uncultured ciliate
Lineage: Eukaryota; Ciliophora
Description: SSU rRNA
Rfam family: Eukaryotic small subunit ribosomal RNA
Source: RNAcentral
AUUUGUCUGGUUAAUUCCGAUAACGAACGAGACCUUAACCUGCUAACUAGUUCUCAAUACUCUGUAUUCUGCAACUUCUUAGAGGGACUAUGUAAAUCAAUUACAUGGAAGUUUGAGGCAAUAACAGGUCAGUGAUGCCCUUAUAUGUCCUGGGCUGCACGCGUGCUACACUGAUGCAUACAACAAGUGCCUAGCCAGACAUGGUAUGGCAAUCUCGAAUAUGCAUCGUGAUGGGGAUAGAUCUUUGCAAUUAUAGAUCUUGAACGAGGAAUUCCUAGUAAGUGCAAGUCAUCAUCUUGCAUUGAUUAUGUCCCUGCCCUUUGUACACACCGCCCGUCGCUCCUACCGAUACCGGGUGAUCCGGUGAACCUUUUGGACUCCGUACGGGGGAAGAUAAGUAAACCAUAUCACCCAGAGGAAGGAGAAGUCGUAACAAGGUUUCCGUAGGUGAACCUGCRGAAGGAUCA